UCAAUUUGACUCAACACGGGAAACCUGACCCGGCCCGGACACAGACCGGAUUGACAGAUGGAUAGCUCUUUCUCGAGUCCGUGGGUGGUGGUGCAUGGCUAUUCUUGGUUGGUGGAGCGAUUUGUCUGGUUAAUUCCGAUAACAAACGAGACUCUGGCAUGCUAACUGGUUACACCCCCCCCCCCCAGCGGUCGGCGUCCAAAAUAAAUAAAUAAAAAUAAACUGAAUCAACAUUUGAAGUCACUGGUGAAAGGAUUAACAGCUCCCCCAAGGCAGAGUCUGAUUUGUUUCCCUUUGUAUCUCUGAUCC
Molecule: non-coding RNA, 309 nt
Filed under: Sus scrofa (pig)
Lineage: Eukaryota; Metazoa; Chordata; Mammalia; Artiodactyla; Suidae
Description: Eukaryotic small subunit ribosomal RNA
Rfam family: Eukaryotic small subunit ribosomal RNA
Source: Rfam by way of RNAcentral